UUGCGUCAGGUCAAAGUGCAGCUUAUGAAAGGGAGAUGAUGGGUUACAACCCAAAAAAAGAUACGAAUUAAAGCACUAAAAGCUUUAUAAAGGUGGACUUGAAUGUAAUAUUUAAAUAAAUUAAAUAUGAAAAUGAAUCUAAGGCAUGUACACAUCGCCCGUCACUCUCACCUUAAGGCGAGAUAAGUCGUAACAAAGUAGGUGUAACGGAAGUUGCACCUG
RNAcentral lists this ribosomal RNA (222 nucleotides) under Lumbricidae sp. Bozorgi-2018. RNAcentral describes it as "partial 12S ribosomal RNA". It matches the Rfam family "Bacterial small subunit ribosomal RNA", at positions 1234 to 1520 of the family's 1533-position model. The record is from RNAcentral. Lineage: Eukaryota; Metazoa; Annelida; Clitellata; Crassiclitellata; Lumbricidae.